This 475-nucleotide ribosomal RNA is filed under the name uncultured bacterium. Its description in RNAcentral is "SSU rRNA". It matches the Rfam family "Bacterial small subunit ribosomal RNA", at positions 26 to 521 of the family's 1533-position model. The record is from RNAcentral.
AGAACGAACGCUUGCGACGUGCCUAAGAAAUGCAAGUCGAACGGACCAGCAGCAAUGCUGGUUAGUGGCGAACGGUCGCGUAACACGUGGGCAACCUGCCCUGAAGCGGGGGACAACAACUCGAAAGAGUUGCUAAUACCGCAUGUGUAUCGGAAUGGCAUCAUUCAGGAUACAAAGCCGCAAGGCACUUCAGGAUGGGCCCGCGGCCUAUCAGCUAGUUGGUGAGGUAACGGCUCACCAAGGCUUCGACGGGUAGCUGGUCUGAGAGGACGAUCAGCCGGAUUGGGACUGAGAUACGGCCCAGACUCCUACGGGGGGCAGCAAUUAGGAAUCUUGCACAAUGGGCGAAAGCCUGAUGCAGCGACGUCGCGUGAAGGAUGAAAUCUUUCGGGAUGUAAACUUCUUUACCAGGGAAGAAAUAAAUGACGGUACCUGGUGAAUAAGCCCCGGCUAACUACGCGCCAGCAGCCGCGGU